UCUCCGUUGGUGAACCAGCGGAGGGAUCAUUACUGAGUCUUAAAAAACUCCCAACCCAUGUGAAUUUACCUUUGUUGCCUCGGCAGGAGUUAUAGGUUUUCUUAUAGCUGCUGCCGGUGGACCAUUAAACUCUUGUUAUUUUAUGUAAUCUGAGCGUCUUAUUUUAAUAAGUCAAAACUUUCAACAACGGAUCUCUUGGUUCUGGCAUCGAUGAAGAACGCAGC
RNAcentral lists this unclassified non-coding RNA (224 nucleotides) under uncultured fungus. RNAcentral's name for it is "sequence contains ITS1, 5.8S rRNA gene". The stretch from base 176 to 224 matches the Rfam family "5.8S ribosomal RNA", at positions 1 to 49 of the family's 154-position model. The record is from RNAcentral. Lineage: Eukaryota; Fungi.